This is a long non-coding RNA of Balaenoptera ricei (Rice's whale), 2017 nucleotides long. RefSeq lists it as uncharacterized. The record is from RefSeq and is a predicted model, not a curated record. The transcript is spliced from 4 exons. Lineage: Eukaryota; Metazoa; Chordata; Mammalia; Artiodactyla; Balaenopteridae.
CUGCUAUGGCGGCCGGCAGGGUCCACAACGGCCCGCGGGGACGUACGGCGGCCCGCGGGGGCCACAGGAGCCGCGGGAGGCGGCCCGAGGGGGUCACAGCGGCCAGCAGGGACCUACGGCGGCCGGCGGGGGUCAUAGAGAUCGCGGGAGGCGGCCCCGGCUUUUGCUCAAGCUUCCGUGCCGACUGCCCCGCGGUCCCCCUGUCCCCGGGACACCCCCCCUUGACGCUGCUCGCUAGUCCUCCAGCUCGCGCGACCAGUGUUGUUUUCCUUCUUCGGGAGGAGCCCGGGGCGGGGGAAGGGGACCCUGGAGCCCUGGGCUCAGCCGGUCACGCUGUCUGCGGCCAGCGUGUGAGGGACGGGCACCGGGAAGGCGGCCCGGGGCAGCCGGCAGUGACUGGGAUCAGACGGUCAGCGCGGUGCCUUCAAGGUCGACACUGGGGGAGAUUUUUGUCUGUGCGGGAAGCUUUGAGACUGGGGUGUCCUGCUGCUGAAUUCCACGGGGUGCUGAGGCUAUUGACGGAGGACGUUGCCAGGCAACCCGGACUCCUCCAUUUACUUUAACUUCUACCCUCUUUAUUAAACUUUAAUGUGGAUAAAGAUAUUAAGCAAGUUACCUUCCUUUCUCUUCGUGCCUAUCCUCACGUGUAAAAAGACCAGUGAGCAGAUAAAUGAUCAAAAGCCCAGCAAGAGUCAGGCCUUAGCGGUGUGGACCGAAUAGGCUAUGGACCGAAUAAUCUGCCCGUUAAUUGCAAAGAACCGGCGAAUUUCAGCAUAUCAAGCGCAGGGCAUUUCUGAACUCUUCAGCAUGUUUCCGAACUGGAGCAGCCUUUGUUUAUGGCGAUGCUGUGUCUUUGAACUUACAAGUUGAAGUACACCUUGUGUUUUCAGCCAUGAAUCAUCUUUGUAGUUCUUGAGAAUUCCCACCUUGAACACGUCUUCCGCUGUAAUUCUGGACACAACUGCUAAGUUACUUACACUGCUGGCGUGUCCAGAUCUGUCUAAGGUGCCCUGAAUGGCUUUAGCAUGCCUAGGAUGGCCGUGUAAACUUUGUGACCUUAAAGAUGGGAAUCCCAAAGUUUGGUGUGUUUUCACAGACAGGGAUAAGAAAUGGUGCCUUCUAUCUUCGUUGUUUCCACUGUUAGCUGAGUGCUUUGAAAAUCCGACUUGUUCUGUCCGUGCAUAACAUCUGUUUGACUGAAACUUGGGGAGCUCGUUUCUCCUCUCUUAGAGUCUGCCUGCCUUUCAUCAUCUUCAGCUGAAAUCCCAACAUCUGGACCUAAUUUCGGCUCUGAGGUGCUCUUCACGUUGUCUGAUGCAAGUCGAUCGCCGUCUGGGGAUGCUGGCGUGCUCGUGCUGGGUGGCAGGCGAAGGCUGCCCCGACGCUCUGGGACCAGGUGCGUUCUUUGGUCCUUCUCUUCCUUCACACGGAAGGAACCGACUUUUUUCCUGAACCCCGUCCCUGGUGGCAUGCAGAGGGAAGUAUCCUCAUACAACAACCCCUCCCCGUUGAAAAGAUACCUGUACAUGCUGUAGCCAUCGGUACUGUUGAUGCUGCUUUGCCUUAGAAGGUACGUUGCAUCGCAUUCAGAAGAAGCCCGGGACCGGGUCUGCAUCAGGUCGGACUUGUCCAUUCCUGCGAGGUUUUCCAGCGCAUUCACCAUUCUGCUAGAUAGUUCUUCCAGUUGGGAAAGGCGAAGGUCAACAGUCUGUAGGGAAGUUUUCAUAAAGUUUUCUCUUUCGUUGAUUUCUUCCAACCUCAUGGACAUAUUUUCAACUCUGGCGGAUACAAAGGGAUAGGUUUAUUACACUGAGAUAAACUAAGGAUUAAAACCAAAAAUAUAAUGUUAUUGUUGCUGUAUGAUUUUGCAGGCUUUUGGGAAUCAUGGGCUGCUUGGGGCAUUUUUUUAAAAUUUUAUUUAUUUAUGGGCAUAUUUUUAAACUUCACACUCUCCUAAUAUAACUACUGAAAAUUACAGUGAGGAGCAUCAGAAAAUAAUAGAAAUAUGGUUAACGCA